This 264-nucleotide ribosomal RNA is filed under the name uncultured bacterium. RNAcentral describes it as "partial 16S ribosomal RNA". It matches the Rfam family "Bacterial small subunit ribosomal RNA", at positions 793 to 1055 of the family's 1533-position model. The record is from RNAcentral.
GUCCACGCCCUAAACUAUGUCAACUGGUUGUCGGGGAAGCAAUUCCUUGGUAACGAAGCUAACGCGUGAAGUUGACCGCCUGGGGAGUACGGCCGCAAGGUUAAACUCAAAGGAAUUGACGGGGACCCGCACAAGCGGUGGAUUAUGUGGAUUAAUUCGAUGCAACGCGAAAAACCUUAACCUACCCUUGACAUGCUAGGAAGCUCGCAGAGAUGUGAGUGUGCCCGAAAGGGAACCUAGACACAGGUGCUGCAUGGCUGUCGU